RNAcentral lists this ribosomal RNA (461 nucleotides) under uncultured bacterium. RNAcentral describes it as "bacterial SSU rRNA". It matches the Rfam family "Bacterial small subunit ribosomal RNA", at positions 339 to 791 of the family's 1533-position model. The record is from RNAcentral.
UUACGGGAGGCAGCAGUGGGGAAUCUUGCGCAAUGGGCGAAAGCCUGACGCAGCAACGCCGCGUGUGUGAUGAAGGUCUUCGGAUCGUAAAGCACUGUCGCGAGGGACGAAUAAGGGCCGGGUUAACAGCCCGGCACGAUGACGGUACCUCGAGAGGAAGCACCGGCUAACUCUGUGCCAGCAGCCGCGGUAAUACAGAGGGUGCAAGCGUUGUUCGGAAUUAUUGGGCGUAAAGCGCGUGUAGGCGGCUUGGCAAGUCGGAUGUGAAAGCCCUCGGCUUAACCGAGGAAGUGCGUUCGAAACUGCCUGGCUUGAGUACCGGAGAGGGUGGCGGAAUUCCCGGUGUAGAGGUGAAAUUCGUAGAUAUCGGGAGGAACACCAGCGGCGAAGGCGGCCACCUGGACGGAUACUGACGCUGAGACGCGAAAGCGUGGGUAGCAAACAGGAUUAGAUACCCCGGU